GGACCCGCACAAGUAGUGGAGCAUGUGGUUUAAUUCGAAGAUACGCGCAGAACCUUACCAACACUUGACAUGUUCGUCGCGACUUUAAGAGAUUAAAGUUUUCGGUUCGGCCGGACGAAACACAGGUGCUGCAUGGCUGUCGUCAGCUCGUGUCGUGAGAUGUUGGGUUAAGUCCCGCAACGAGCGCAACCCUCACUUUUAGUUGCCAUCAUUAAGUUGGGCACUCUGAAAGAACUGCCAGUGAUAAGCUGGAGGAAGGUGGGGAUGACGUCAAGUCCUCAUGGCCCUUACGUGUUGGGCUACACACGUGCUACAAUGGUAUCUACAACAGGAAGCAAAACUGCGAGGUUAAGCAAAUCCUCAAAAGAUACCUCAGUUCGGAUUGCACUCUGCAACUCGAGUGCAUGAAGCUGGAAUUACUAGUAAUCG
This 429-nucleotide ribosomal RNA is filed under the name uncultured bacterium. RNAcentral describes it as "bacterial SSU rRNA". It matches the Rfam family "Bacterial small subunit ribosomal RNA", at positions 917 to 1344 of the family's 1533-position model. The record is from RNAcentral.